GUUUUCUACAACUCAAAUAACCCGAUUUCUAUAAUAAUUCGCCGACUUUUGCAAUAAAGCAGUAAACUCGAACUUAACUCGCUUGUCCGCGUUAUACUUCCGAACAGCCUCAAUUCGCCACGGCGUGGCUCCGGUUUGCGCAAACGCGGCCGCAUACUCGGCAACUCGCCCGAGUUUUAGAACAUGGGUUAAAACCCAUAGAUUUCAAACCAAUCACCUUCGUCUAGAUUUAUUCCAAACAGGAAUUUAACUUCCCAAGGUAUAGUUGCGUCGAUGGUUGUACCCUGUUGUAAUAGGUGAAAUGAUAUGUCAGGAUAAUAUAUGAAAAAGAAAACAGAUUCACAAAAAUAUACGAUUCUCACUUUUUCAUCUCCAAUAACCAAACAUGUACUGGGUCGAAUUGAACCAAUGGGUGUCUUCCAU
This 423-nucleotide long non-coding RNA is filed under the name Brassica napus (rape). RNAcentral describes it as "long non-coding RNA (BNAP_LNC016163)". Lineage: Eukaryota; Viridiplantae; Streptophyta; Magnoliopsida; Brassicales; Brassicaceae. The record is from RNAcentral.